Molecule: transfer RNA, 17 nt
Filed under: Thinopyrum elongatum
Lineage: Eukaryota; Viridiplantae; Streptophyta; Magnoliopsida; Poales; Poaceae
Description: partial tRNA-Asp
Source: RNAcentral
GGGAUUGUAGUUCAAUU